CCCUUAGAUGUUCUGGGCAGCACGCGCGCUACAAUGGUCUUCGCAAACGCAUGCAUUCUCGAAGGAGAAUGCCAAUCUUGGAAUCUAUGCCUUGGUCGGGACAGUUGCUUGCAAUUUUUCGACUCGAACCAGGAAUUCCUUGUAAUCGUGAUUCAUCACAUCACGAUGAAUACGUCCCUGCCCUUUGUACACACCGCCCGUCGCUCCUACCGAUCGAAGAGUUAGGUGAAUUGUUUUGAUCGAUAAGAUUUGACUAUGGUCAACUCUCGUUGUGAAAUUCUGUGAAUCUGACUGUUUAGAGGAAGGAAAAGUCGUAACA
Molecule: ribosomal RNA, 319 nt
Filed under: uncultured eukaryote
Lineage: Eukaryota
Description: partial 18S ribosomal RNA
Rfam family: Eukaryotic small subunit ribosomal RNA
Source: RNAcentral